This 312-nucleotide unclassified non-coding RNA is filed under the name plant metagenome. RNAcentral's name for it is "partial contains 5.8S ribosomal RNA, internal transcribed spacer 2, and large subunit ribosomal RNA". The stretch from base 1 to 105 matches the Rfam family "5.8S ribosomal RNA", at positions 50 to 154 of the family's 154-position model. The record is from RNAcentral.
GAAAUGCGAUAAGUAAUGUGAAUUGCAGAAUUCCGUGAAUCAUCGAAUCUUUGAACGCACAUUGCGCCCUCUAGCAUUCCGGGGGGCAUGCCUGUCCGAGCGUCAUUACGCACCCUCAAGCCCCGCUUGUGUGAUGGGCCCCGGCGUCUCGUUCGCGAGACGGGCCCGAAAGGCAGCGGCGGCGUCGACCCGAUGAGCCCGAGCGUAUGGGGACUUCUGUCACACGUUCGCGGUGCGGACCGGCGCCUGCUUGACUUUUCUGAUUAUCCAGGUUGACCUCGGAUCAGGUAGGGAUACCCGCUGAACUUAAGC